GACAGAGGUCUCGAGCGUUAGGCGGAAUCACUGGGCUUAAAGCGUGUGUAGGCGGAUGUCUAAGUGUCUUGUGAAAUCCCCCGGCUCAACCGGGGAACUGCUUGACAUACUGGAUGUCUUGAGCCACCUAGGGGCAACUGGAACAAAUGGUGGAGCGGUGAAAUGCGUAGAUAUCAUUUGGAACGCCAACGGUGAAAACAGGUUGCUGGGGGUGUGCUGACGCUGAGACACGAAAGCCAGGGGAGCAAACGGG
This 253-nucleotide ribosomal RNA is filed under the name uncultured bacterium. RNAcentral describes it as "partial 16S ribosomal RNA". It matches the Rfam family "Bacterial small subunit ribosomal RNA", at positions 524 to 776 of the family's 1533-position model. The record is from RNAcentral.